ACGAGGACGCAUCCUUCGGGAAGCGAGCGUACACAGGUGCUGCAUGGCUGUCGUCAGCCCGUGUCGUGAGAUGUUGGGUUAAGUCCCGCAACGAGCGCAACCCUUGCCUUUAGUUGCCAGCAGUUCGGCUGGGCACUCUAAAGGGACUGCCGGUGUUAAACCGGAGGAAGGUGGGGAUGACGUCAAGUCCUCAUGGCCUUUAUGACCAGGGCUACACACGUACUACAAUGGCCGAUACAAAGGGCAGCGACACUGCGAGGUGAAGCCAAUCCCGUAAAAUCGGUCUCAGUCCGGAUUGGAGUCUGCAACUCGACUCCAUGAAGUUGGAAUCGCUAGUAAUCGUGGAUCAGCAUGCCACGGUGAAUACGUUCCCGGGCCUU
Molecule: ribosomal RNA, 380 nt
Filed under: uncultured Desulfobulbus sp.
Lineage: Bacteria; Pseudomonadati; Thermodesulfobacteriota; Desulfobulbia; Desulfobulbales; Desulfobulbaceae
Description: bacterial SSU rRNA
Rfam family: Bacterial small subunit ribosomal RNA
Source: RNAcentral